Molecule: ribosomal RNA, 247 nt
Filed under: uncultured bacterium
Lineage: Bacteria
Description: partial 16S ribosomal RNA
Rfam family: Bacterial small subunit ribosomal RNA
Source: RNAcentral
AUACGGAGGAUCCAAGCGUUAUCCGGAUUUAUUGGGUUUAAAGGGAGCGUAGAUGGAUGUUUAAGUCAGUUGUGAAAGUUCGGGGCUCAACCCCGGAAUUGCAGUUGAUACUGGAUAUCUUGAGUACAGUUGAGGUAGGCGGAAUUCGUGGUGUAGCGGUGAAAUGCUUAGAUAUCACGAGGAACUCCGAUUGCGCAGGCAGCUUACUAAACUACUACUGACGCUCAGGCACGAAGGCGUGGGGAUC